RNAcentral lists this ribosomal RNA (864 nucleotides) under uncultured organism. Its description in RNAcentral is "bacterial SSU rRNA". It matches the Rfam family "Bacterial small subunit ribosomal RNA", at positions 13 to 875 of the family's 1533-position model. The record is from RNAcentral.
UUGAUCCUGGCUCAGGAUGAACGCUAGCGGCAGGCCUAACACAUGCAAGUCGAGGGGUAACGAUGGAGCUUGCUCCAGGCGACGACCGGCGCACGGGUGAGUAACGCGUUUGCAACCUACCUCUAACUGGAAGAUAGCCCGAAGAAAUUCGGAUUAAUAUUCCAUAACACUAUGAUUUGGCAUCUUUUUAUAGUUAAAGUUUCGACGGUUAGAGAUGGGCAUGCGUGACAUUAGCUAGUUGGUGAGGUAACGGCUCACCAAUGCCACGAUGUCUAGGGGGUCUGAGAGGAUGGUCCCCCACACUGGUACUGAGACACGGACCAGACUCCUACGGGAGGCAGCAGUGAGGAAUAUUGGUCAAUGGGCGAAAGCCUGAACCAGCCAUGCCGCGUGAAGGAUGACGGCCCUACGGGUUGUAAACUUCUUUUGUUUGAGAAGAAACCUCCCUACGUGUAGGGGGCUGACGGUAUCGAACGAAUAAGCAUCGGCUAACUCCGUGCCAGCAGCCGCGGUAAUACGGAGGAUGCAAGCGUUAUCCGGAUUCAUUGGGUUUAAAGGGUACGCAGGCGGAAAACUAAGUCAGUGGUGAAAUCCUGCAGCUUAACUGUAGAACUGUCAUUGAUACUGGUUUUCUUGGAUUCAGUUGAGGUAGGCGGAAUGUGUAAUGUAGCGGUGAAAUGCUUAGAUAUUACACAGGACACCGAUUGCGAAGGCAGCUUACUAAACUGCGAUUGACGCUGAGGUACGAAAGCGUGGGUAGCAAACAGGAUUAGAUACCCUGGUAGUCCACGCCGUAAACUAUGAUCACUCGUUGUUGGCAACACAUCGUCAGCGACUGAGCGAAAGCAUUAAGUGAUCCACCUG